GGCGGCGUGCCUUAACCACAUGCCAAGUCGAGCGAGGCUUUUUUAGAGUGGAAUUUUUCGAAAAUGAAACUCUAACUUUCCUAGCGGCGGACGGGUGAGUAACGCGUGAGAAACCUGCCUUUCACAACGGGAUAGCCUCGGGAAACUGGGAUUAAUGCCGUAUGAAACUCUUAUUUCAGCAUUGAAAAUGAGUUAAAGCGUAAAGCGGUGAAAGAUGGUCUCGCGUCCCAUUAGUUAGUUGGUGAGGUAACGGCUCACCAAGACAACGAUGGGUAGCCGGCCUGAGAGGGUGAACGGCCACAUUGGAACUGAGACACGGUCCAAACUCCUACGGGAGGCAGCAGUGGGGAAUAUUGCACAAUGGAGGGAACUCUGAUGCAGCGACGCCGCGUGAACGAUGAAGGCUUUCGAGUCGUAAAGUUCUGUCCUAUGGGAAGAUAAUGACGGUACCAUAGGAGGAAGCCCCGGCUAACUACGUGCCAGCAGCCGCGGUAAUACGUAGGGGGCGAGCGUUGUCCGGAAUUAUUGGGCGUAAAGGGUUCGCAGGCGGUAAUGUAAGUCUGAUGUGAAAUCCUGUGGCUAAACCACAGUAAGCAUUAGAAACUGCAUAACUUGAGUCAAGGAGAGGUAAGUGGAAUUCCUAGUGUAGCGGUGAAAUGCGUAGAUAUUAGGAGGAAUACCAGUGGCGAAGGCGACUUACUGGACUUGAACUGACGCUGAGGAACGAAAGCGUGGGUAGCAAACAGGAUUAGAUACCCUGGUAGUCCACGCCGUAAACGAUGAGUGCUAGGUGUCGGGAGUCAAAUCUCGGUGCCGUAGUUAACGCAAUAAGCACUCCG
RNAcentral lists this ribosomal RNA (839 nucleotides) under uncultured bacterium. Its description in RNAcentral is "bacterial SSU rRNA". It matches the Rfam family "Bacterial small subunit ribosomal RNA", at positions 38 to 871 of the family's 1533-position model. The record is from RNAcentral.